ACAAAGAUAAAUAACACAAACAUCUCAAAAUAUCUGAAAGAUAAUCAAUUUUGGCAAACAAAAGAUCACAACCUAAAUUCCAUGUAGCGCCGCCUCGAAGAAUCACCAAAUGGAGUGUAUGUAUCAUUAUCGACCCAACCUCUAGUAGAGUGAUAAUUCUUCAUUAUAUACAUUUUUUUUAUUGUUUAGUCUUUGAUUAUCAUAUUUAUAUUUAAGCAUUAGUUAGUUUUAAGAGUUAUUUGAUAUAGUUUGAUAAUUUUAGUUCUUGAAUUUAAUGACAUGUUUAUUAUUUUAUUUUUUAGAUUAAGUAGAUAUUUUUUUAUAGUUUUAUUUUGUUUCAUUGUUUUAGUGCAAUGUUGAAUUUUUGUGAGAAUUUGACAUGAUUUAUGUGGGUGUUUUAAUCAUAUAUGAAGUUGUAGAUGUCCAAAUAGAGUCAAAUUAGUUUCAAAUGAUAGCUAAGAUCCAUAGAUACAACUUUAAUGCAGACACUUGAACCAAAUUAAUAAUCAAAAUAAGGGAAAAAUGUAGUAGAAGCUAGACCCCGCAAAAUUGUUGUGCGCGGGAGCACAAUUGCCUGUGCCUAAGACACACUUUGUUUUUAAAUAAUUUUUUUGUCCUGCGAGGCCUGGAGCGUCUCUAGUGUCUGCUGGAGCACAUAACGUGUUGUUGAAUGAAUAAAAUUGCAAUUUUAUCACUUUUUGGAGAUUUUUUUUUUUUUUUUCUGGUUUGGAGACUAGAGACUUGUGUCGUAUCAUAGGCAACUUAGAGGAGAAUGAUUCUAACACCAUCGAAGGAGUAUUCUCAAGAAUUAUUCAUGAAUAGUUAUUGUAAUCUUUCUUUAAUCUCUAUUUUUUGUUCCUUUGUCAUGAGUAACUAAACUCGUGGUGUUAAGGAUGAGUAUAAUUUGAUGAAAUCUCUUGACGCGUGAUUUGAUAUUUGGUUUAUUGAAUUGUUUUUCUUAUUUUUGUGUUCAUUGCUAUUUAUCGAUUAAUCACCUUUAAAUUGAUUUACAAUUUGUAUUUUAAAAUGAAAAGUGUACUUUAUGAAUGUUUGAGAUAAGAAAUUCAUGAUUUUGCACACGAGGAAUGAACAUAGACACAUAAAACCAAUUGGG
This 1114-nucleotide long non-coding RNA is filed under the name Cicer arietinum (chickpea). RNAcentral describes it as "long non-coding RNA (CARI_LNC001947)". Lineage: Eukaryota; Viridiplantae; Streptophyta; Magnoliopsida; Fabales; Fabaceae. The record is from RNAcentral.